This 4973-nucleotide long non-coding RNA is filed under the name Brassica napus (rape). RNAcentral describes it as "long non-coding RNA (BNAP_LNC007260)". Lineage: Eukaryota; Viridiplantae; Streptophyta; Magnoliopsida; Brassicales; Brassicaceae. The record is from RNAcentral.
UUUUAAUGCAUAGUUGAAUCAUGUAAUAACAUAUGAUGAAUUUCAAAGAGGUUUGGAACCUUUGUUGUCUCCGUUUCUCUAGGGAAUAGCAAUUUUAUAGUGGUUAGUCUAAUGAUUUAGGGAGUAUUUGCAGUUUUGCUAAAUUAAUUGAUAAAAAAUUAGAACGAUUUACAUGUACCAUGAAAAAGAUUUUAUCAUAAAUUAAUAAAAAUGUAUAAUGUGGUUAUAAAUUUUAAAACGAAUUAAAAGAUAAUAAGCUUCAUAUAUAGAUCAUUUAUCGAAAACUCACUAUUUUCGUAGGGGGGCUCACAUAGAUUUUGAGAAAAAUUCAAAAAAUUUGACAAUACUGUUUUAAUGCAUAGUUGAAUCAUGUAAUAACAUAUGAUGAAUUUAAAAGAGGUUUGGAACCUUUGUUGUCUCUGUUUCUCUAGGGAAUAGCAAUUUUAUAGUUGUUAAUCCAAUGAUUUAGGGAGUAUUUGCAGUUUUGCUAAAUUAAUGGAUAAAAAAUUAGAACGAUGUCCAUGUACCAUGAAAAGAAGUUUAUCAUACAUUAAUACAAAGUUAUAAUGUGGUUUUAAAUUUUAAAACAAAUUUAAAGAUUAUAGGCUUCAUAUAUAGAGCAUUUACCGAAAACUCACUAUUUUCGUAGGGGGAUACACAUAGAUUUUGAGAAAAAUUCAAAAAAUUAGACAAUACUGUUUUAAUGCAUAGUUGAAUCAUGUAAUAACAUAUGAUGAAUUUCAAAGAGGUUUGGAACCUUUGUUGUCUCCGUUUCUCUAGGGAAUAGCAAUUUUAUAGUUGUUAGUCCAAUGAUUUAGGGAGUAUUUGCAGUUUUCCUAAAUUAAUGGAUAAAAAAUUAGAAAGAUGUCCAUGUUCCAUGAAAAGAAGUUUAUCAUACAUUAAUACAAAGUUAUAAUGUGGUUUUAAAUUUUAAAACAAAUUUAAAGAUUAUAGGCUUCAUAUAUAGAGCAUUUACCGAAAACUCACUAUUUUCAUAGGGGGGUACAAAUAGAUUUUGAGAAAAAUUCAAAAAAUUUGAGAAUACUGUUUUAAUACAUAUAUGAAUCAUGGAAUAGCAUAUGAUGAAGUUCAAAGAGGUUUGUAACUUUUUUUGUCUCCGUUUCUCUAAGGAAUAGCAAUUUUAUAGUGGUUAGUCCAAUGAUUUAGGGAGUAUUUACAGUUUUGCUAAAUUAAUUGAUAAAAAAUUAGAAAGAUGUCCAUGUACCAUGAAAAGGAGUUUAUCAUAUAUUAAUACAAAUGUAUAAUGUGGUUAUAAAUUUUAAAACGAAUUAAAAGAUUAUAGGCUUCAUAUAUAGAGCAUUUACCGAAAACUCACUAUUUUCGUAGGGGGGUACACAUAGAUUUUGAGAAAAAUUCAAAAAAAUUGAAAAUACUGUUUUAAUACAUAUUUGAAUCAUGUAAUAAAAUAUGAUGAAGUUCAAAGAGGUUUGGAACCUUUGUUGUCUCCGUUUCUCUAAGGAAUAGCAAUUUUAUAGUGGUUAGUCCAAUGAUUUAGGGAGUAUUUACAGUUUUGCUAAAUUAAUUGAUAAAAAAUUAGAACGAUGUCCAUGUACCAUGAAAAAAAGUUUAUCAUAAAUUAAUACAAAUGUAUAAUGUGGUUAUAAAUUUUAAAACGAAUUAAAAGAUUAUAGGCUUCAUAUAUAGAGCAUUUACCGAAAACUCACUAUUUUCGUAGGGGGGUACACAUAGAUUUUGAGAAAAAUUCAAAAAAUUUGAGAAUACUGUUUUAAUACAUAUAUGAAUCAUGGAAUAGCAUAUGAUGAAGUUCAAAGAGGUUUGGAACCUUUGUUGUCUCCGUUUUUCUAAGGAAUAGCAAUUUUAUAGUGGUUAGUCCAAUGAUUUAGGGAGUAUUUACAGUUUUGCUAAAUUAAUUGAAACAAAAUUAGAACGAUGUCCAUGUACCAUGAAAAGAAGUUUAUCAUAAAUUAAUACAAUGGUAUAAUUUGGUUUUAAAUUUUAAAACGAAUUAAAAUAUUAUUGGCUUCAUAUGUAGAGCAUUUACCGAAAACUCACCAUUUUCGUAGGGGGGUACACAUAGAUGGAAAACUCACUAUUUUCGUAGGAGGGUACACAUAGAUUUUGAGAAAAAAUCAAAAAAAUUGAGAAUACUGUUUUAAUACAUAUUUGAAUCAUGUAAUAAAAUAUGAUGAAGUUCAAAGAGGUUUGGAACCUUUGUUGUCUCCGUUUUUCUAAGGAAUAUCAAUUUUAUACUGGUUAGUCCAAUGAUUUAGAUAGUAUUUACAGUUUUUCUAAAUUAAUUGAUACAAAAUUAGAACGAUGUCCAUGUACCAUGAAAAUAAUUUUAUCAUACAUUAAUACAAUGGUAUAAUGUGGUUUUAAAUUUUAAAACGAAUUUAAAUAUUAUUGGCUUCAUAUAUAGAGCAUUUACCGAAAACUCACUAUUUUUGUAGGGGGGUACACAUAGAUUUUGAGAAAAAUUCAAAAAAUUUGAGAAUACUGUUUUAAUACAUAUUUGAAUCAUGUAAUAAAAUAUGAUGAAGUUCAAAGGAAAAAUCAAAAAAUUUGAGAAUACUGUUUUAAUACAUAUAUGAAUCAUGGAAUACCAUAUGAUGAAGUUCAAAGAGGUUUGUAACCGGUGUUGUCUCCGUUUCUCUAGGGAAUAGCAAUUUUAUAGUGGUUAAUCCAAUGAUUUAGGGAGUAUUUGCAGUUUUGCUAAAUUAAUGGAUAAAAAAUUAAAAAGAUGUCCAUGUACCAUGAAAAGAAGUUUAUCAUACAUUAAUACAAAGGUAUAAUGUGGUUAUAAAUUUUAAAACAAAUUUAAAGAUUAUAGGCUUAAUGUAUAGAGCAUUUACCGAAAACUCACUAUUUUCGUAGGGGGGUACACAUAGAUUUUGAGAAAAAAUCAAAAAAAUUGAGAAUAUUGUUUUAAUACAUUAUGAGUCAUGGAAUAACACAUGAUGAAGUUCAAAGAGGUUUGUAACCUUUGUUGUCUCCGUUUCUUUUGGGAAUAGCAAUUUUAUAGUUGUUAGUCCAAUGAUUUAGGGAGUAUUUGCAGUUUUGCUAAAUUAAUGGAUAAAAAAUUAGAACGAUGUCCUUGUACCAUGAAAAGAAGUUUAUCAUACAAUAAUACAAAGGUAUAAUGUGGUUUUAAAUUUUAAAACAAAUUUAAAUAUUAUUGGCUUCAUAUAUAGAGCAUUUACCGAAAACUCACUAUUUUCGUAGGGGGGGUACACAUAGAUUUUGGGAAAAAUUCAAAAAUUUGAGAAUACUGUUUUAAUACAUAUUUGAAUUAUGUAAUAAAAUAUGAUGAAGUUCAAAGAGGUUUGGAACUUUUGUUGUCUCCGUUUCUCUAAGGAAUAGCAAUUUUAUAGUGGUUAGUCCAAUGAUUUGGGGAGUAUUUACAGUUUUGCUAAAUUAAUUGAUGAAAAAUUAGAACGAUGUCCAUGUACCAUGAAAAGGAGUUUAUCAUAAAUUAAUACAAAUGUAUAAUGUGGUUAUAAAUUUUAAAACGAAUUAAAAGAUUAUAGGCUUCAUAUAUAGAGCAUUUACCGAAAACUCACUAUUUUCGUAGGGGGGUACACAUAGAUUUUGAGAAAAAUUCAAAAAAUUUGAGAAUACUGUUUUAAUACAUAUUUGAAUCAUGUAAUAAAAUAUGAUGAAGUUCAAAGAGGUUUGGAACCUUUGUUGUCUCCGUUUCUCUAAGGAAUAGCAAUUUUAUAGUGGUUAGUCCAAUGAUUUAGGGAGUAUUUACAGUUUUGCUAAAUUAAUUGAUAAAAAAUUAGAACGAUGUCCAUGUACCAUGAAAAGGAGUUUAUCAUAAAUUAAUACAAAUGUAUAAUGUGGUUAUAAAUUUUAAAACGAAUUAAAAGAUUAUAGGCUUCAUAUAUAGAGCAUUUACCGAAAACUCAUUAUUUUCGUAGGGGGGUACACAUAGAUUUUGAGAAAAAUUCAAAAAAUUUGAGAAUGCUGUUUUAAUACAUAUUUUAAUCUUGUAAUUAAAUAUGAUGAAGUUCAAAGAGGUUUGGAACCUUUGUUGUUUCCGUUUCUCUAAGGAAUAGAAAUAUUAUAGUGGUUAGUCCAAUGAUUUAGGGAGUAUUUACAGUUUUGUUAAAUUAAUUGAUAAAAAAUUAGAACGAUGUCCAUGUACCAUGAAAAUAAGUUUAUCAUAAAUUAAUACAAAUGUAUAGUGUGGUAAUAAAUUUUAAAACGAAUUAAAAGAUUAUAGGCUUCAUAUAUAGAGCAUUUACCGAAAACUAACUAUUUUCGUAGGGGGUACAAAUAGAUUUUGAGAAAAAUUCAAAAAAUUUGAGAAUAUUGUUUUAAUACAUAUAUGAAUCAUGGAAUAGCAUAUGAUGAAGUUCAAAGAGGUUUGUAACCUUUGUUGUCUCCGUUUCUCUAGAGAAUAGUAAUUUUAUAAUGGUUAGUCCAAUGAUUUAGGGAGUAUUUGCAGAUUUGCUAAAUUAAUGGAUAAAAAAUUAGAACGAUGUACCAUGAAAAGAAGUUUAUCAUACAUUAAUACAAUGGUAUAAUGUGGUUUUAAAUUUUAAAACGAAUUAAUAUAUUAUUGGCUUCAUAUAUAGAGCAUUUACAGAAAACUCACUAUUUUCGUAGAGGGGUACACAUAGAUUUUGAGAAAAAUUCAAAAAACUUGAGAAUACUGUUUUAAUACAUAUUUGAAUCAUGUAAUAAAAUAUGAUGAAGUUCAAAGAGGUUUGGAACCUUUGUUGUUUCCGUUUCUCUAAGGCAUAUCAAUUUUAUAGUGGUUAAUUGGAACCUUUGUUGUUUCCGUUUCUCUAAGGAAUAUCAAUUUUAUAGUGGUUAGUCCAAUGAUUUAGGGAGUAUUUACAGUUUUGCUAAAUUAAUUGAUAAAAAAUUAGAACGAUGUCCAUGUAUCAUGAAAAGAAGUUUAUCAUACAUUAAUACAAUGGUAUAAUGUGGUUUUAAAUUUUAAAACGAAUUAAAAUAUUAUUGGCUUCAUAUAUAGAGCAUUU